CCUACGGGAGGCAGCAGUGGGGAAUAUUGCACAAUGGGGGAAACCCUGAUGCAGCGACGCCGCGUGAGUGAAGAAGUAAUUCGUUAUGUAAAGCUCUAUCAGCAGGGAAGAAAAUGACGGUACCUGAGUAAGAAGCCCCGGCUAACUACGUGCCAGCAGCCGCGGUAAUACGUAGGGGGCAAGCGUUAUCCGGAUUUACUGGGUGUAAAGGGAGCGUAGACGGCAGUGCAAGUCUGGAGUGAAAGGCGGGGGCACAACCCCCGGACUGCUCUGGAAACUGUACGGCUGGAGUGCAGGAGAGGUAAGUGGAAUUCCUAGUGUAGCGGUGAAAUGCGUAGAUAUUAGGAGGAACACCGGUGGCGAAGGCGGCCAACUGGGCUUUAACUGACGCUGAGGCUCGAAAGUGUGGGGAGCAAACAGGAUUAGAUACCCGGGUAGUC
Molecule: ribosomal RNA, 440 nt
Filed under: uncultured bacterium
Lineage: Bacteria
Description: partial 16S ribosomal RNA
Rfam family: Bacterial small subunit ribosomal RNA
Source: RNAcentral